This 70-nucleotide transfer RNA is filed under the name Rasbora dusonensis (rosefin rasbora). Its description in RNAcentral is "tRNA-Tyr". It matches the Rfam family "tRNA". From Rfam's summary of the family: Transfer RNA (tRNA) molecules are approximately 80 nucleotides in length. Their secondary structure includes four short double-helical elements and three loops (D, anti-codon, and T loops). Lineage: Eukaryota; Metazoa; Chordata; Actinopteri; Cypriniformes; Danionidae. The record is from RNAcentral.
GGUAGAGUGGCCGAGUGUUAGGCGGCGGUCUGUAGCACCGUGAACAGAGGUUUAAGUCCUCUUUCUAUCA